Molecule: ribosomal RNA, 405 nt
Filed under: uncultured prokaryote
Description: bacterial SSU rRNA
Rfam family: Bacterial small subunit ribosomal RNA
Source: RNAcentral
UGGGGAAUAUUGGGCAAUGGGCGAAAGCCUGACCCAGCAACGCCGCGUGAGGGAAGAAGGUUUUCGGAUUGUAAACCUCUGUCCUUGGUGAAGAAAAAAGUGACGGUAGCCAAGGAGGAAGCCCCGGCUAACUACGUGCCAGCAGCCGCGGUAAUACGUAGGGGGCAAGCGUUGUCCGGAAUGACUGGGCGUAAAGGGCGUGUAGGCGGCCGAUUAAGUCUGGAGUGAAAGUCCUGCUUUCAAGGUGGGAAUUGCUUUGGAGACUGGUUGGCUUGAGUGCGGAAGAGGCAAGUGGAAUUCCCAGUGUAGCGGUGAAAUGCGUAGAGAUUGGGAGGAACACCAGUGGCGAAGGCGACUUGCUGGGCCGUAACUGACGCUGAGGCGCGAAAGCGUGGGGAGCGAACA